RNAcentral lists this ribosomal RNA (417 nucleotides) under uncultured bacterium. RNAcentral's name for it is "bacterial SSU rRNA". It matches the Rfam family "Bacterial small subunit ribosomal RNA", at positions 505 to 916 of the family's 1533-position model. The record is from RNAcentral.
GUGCCAGCAGCCGCGGCGGCUGACACGGAGGAUGCAAGCGUUAUCCGGAAUUAUUGGGCGUAAAGCGUCCGCAGGCGGCUAGAUAAGUCUGCUUUCAAAGAGUGGGGCUCAACCCCAUAGGGGGAGUGGAAACUGUUUAGCUAGAGUAUGGUAGGGGCAGAGGGAAUUCCCAGUGUAGCGGUGAAAUGCGUAGAUAUUGGGAAGAACACCAGUGGCGAAGGCGCUCUGCUGGACCGAGACUGACGCUGAGGGACGAAAGCUAGGGGAGCGAAAGGGAUUAGAUACCCCUGUAGUCCUAGCUGUAAACGAUGGACACUAGGUGUUGCGCGUAUCGACCCGUGCAGUGCCGUAGCUAACGCGUUAAGUGUCCCGCCUGGGGAGUACGCACGCAAGUGUGAAACUCAAAGGAAUUGGCGG